This 497-nucleotide ribosomal RNA is filed under the name uncultured bacterium. Its description in RNAcentral is "partial 16S ribosomal RNA". It matches the Rfam family "Bacterial small subunit ribosomal RNA", at positions 28 to 507 of the family's 1533-position model. The record is from RNAcentral.
GAUGAACGCUGGCGGCGUGCCUAAUACAUGCAAGUCGAGCGAACGGACGAGAAGCUUGCUUUUCUGAUGUUAGCGGCGGACGGGUGAGUAACACGUGGAUAACCUACCUAUAAGACUGGGAUAACUUCGGGAAACCGGAGCUAAUACCGGAUAAUAUUUUGAACCGCAUGGUUCAAAAGUGAAAGACGGUCUUGCUGUCACUUAUAGAUGGAUCCGCGCUGCAUUAGCUAGUUGGUAAGGUAACGGCUUACCAAGGCAACGAUGCAUAGCCGACCUGAGAGGGUGAUCGGCCACACUGGAACUGAGACACGGUCCAGACUCCUACGGGAGGCAGCAGUAGGGAUUCUUCCGCAAUGGGCGAAAGCCUGACGGAGCAACGCCGCGUGAGCGAUGAAGGUCUUCGGAUCGUAAAACUCUGUUAUUAGGGAAGAACAUAUGUGUAAGUAACUGUGCACAUCUUGACGGUACCUAAUCAGAAAGCCACGGCUAACUACGUG